Ipomoea nil (Japanese morning glory) is the source of this 2492-nucleotide long non-coding RNA. RefSeq lists it as uncharacterized. NCBI's taxonomy places the organism in Eukaryota, Viridiplantae, Streptophyta, Magnoliopsida, Solanales, Convolvulaceae. The record is from RefSeq and is a predicted model, not a curated record. The transcript is spliced from 3 exons.
AGAGAACUUGUGUAAUCCUCCUAUUUAAAGAGGAUUUCUAUACUAAUAAAUUAUAGUAGAAUUAAGUAAGAAUCAAGGAAAGGACAACUCCCAAAAGUUGCAAGUUGUUUUCCCUGUUCUUCCUUCACCCUUUUUCAAUCGCACAAAAUAGGCAAACCACCUUUUGCUUCCAUUCCUUCCAAUGAUCUCUAUCAAUCAUUGACGUGAGCUUUGCCCGUGAACAUAACAUUUGUGUUCUGUUGUUGGGCAUAUACAAGGGCAAUAUCGAAAUCUUGCAAGUAGAAGUUUGGGCUCUUCAAGCUUCUAUACAAUCUAUACAAACAUCCUUCCAAAAAAUGGAGAUCAUAACAAACUUGGUCCAAACUCUUUCCAACACAGUUGACAACCUUGGCAAAAUGAUGGAAUCACUAUUAGCCAAACAAGGCAGAUACUCGUCGCCUUCGGAGAAAUCUACCAUCAUUUUACCACAAUACCACUUACUCCACUAGCCGCACCGAUCCUCACAUCCACACCAACAAGAUAAUACACCACAAACCCACUACACUAAGUUGGAAUUCUCAAAUUUUCCGGAUAAAGAGGACACAUUGGUUUGGCUACAUCGUUUAACUCUGUUUCGCUAACACAUAUAUGCUGGAGGAAGAGAAAGUAGGUACAAUUGUCUACGACAUGACUAAGACAACCUAGCUUUGGUACAUAAAACAGGAUCAAGAUGGCUAAUGCUUUAUUUGACAAACCUUCAAAAAUUGUGUACACUUUUUUUUCGGGCUAUCUUGAAGCUUUAACCCUCAUGUCGAAUUGGCAAAACUGAAACAAAGCAACUUGCAGUCUUGCACUUUGAGGAAUACAUUGACAAUUUCCAAAUGAUGUUGGCGAGGACAGACUAUGUCUGAUAUAACAAACGGAUUGAUUUGUUUACAAUAGGCUUAGCUAAAAUUCUCUAGAUCAAUGUUGAAAGAUGCAAACUCACAUGCUUAUUAGAUGAAGCAAGAGCUUGUGACUACACUCGCAGAACAUAGUUGUUGGGCAAUUUGGCAACACGACACCACUCUCCAAUGGACUAGUAUUCGUCUAGCAAUAUUAUCAUGGUAAAGCAACAACCCUUUCAAGCGCACACGCAUUAAGCAUUUCUCACCUGGCGAAAUGUUGGAAUGGAAAAAUGUGCAAAUGUUAUAAUCGUGAUGAUCCAUGAGUGAAUGGUCGUUGUUGCAAAUAAUUAUGCAUGCUAGGUUUUGAUGAAGAAAUGGAUGGGGUGCAAAUUGAACCUACAGUGCCGAAGUAAACCAUUCCCAAAUGUCCUAAUUUCAAAAUUUCAAGCUUGAGGACAAGCUUGAUAUCUGGGAGGCGAGUGAUGAGGUGAGACAAGAAGUCACUCAAGUUAGUGUAAGAAAAUUAGGAGAUUGAUUGAUCCAAAACAAUUAACAAUCUUUGAUUGAUUGCUAUUUGAAUUUGAUUUAUUUCCUUUACACAUGUCUAAUCAGUUUGGUAAGGAGCCUUGAUGAUUCUCCAUUCCUUUUUACGUUUUACUAAAUCUAUGUAAUCCUCCUAUAUAAAGAGGAUUUCUAUGCUAAUAAAUGUAUAGCAAAAAUUAAGAAUCAAGGAAAAGGAUAAUUUCCAACAUUCUAAGUUAUUUUUCCUGUUCAACCUCCUCCCUCUUCCUCUUUUUCAAUUGCACAAAACAGGCAAACCACUCUCACUUCCAAUGAUCUACAUCACCCGUUGAUGCGUGCUUUUGCCUAUGAACAUAGCACAAACUGAAUUGCAAAAUAACAUAAACAAAUCAAGGAAUACCUAAAACGGUUUCCUCCUCCUACAAGUUUUGCAACUUGCCUCCUCAAUAGUUAGUGGAUUAUUUCACUAAUUUCUUGAAGCCCCAUUUAUAAACUAUUACCAAGUACUAAGUAAAUCAUCAAUCAAAGAUUAUUUAAUCAUCCCAUCUCCGAAUUAAUGCUCAUUCUAGAUGCAAAUCAUGCAACUUGAUUAUUUCCGUCCAUUCCCAUUUUCUUUCCUUAUGUAGUUUUGGCCUUUAUGGGAGUAAAUACUAUCUUGGGUUCUCAUCCAUGUGGUAUUUGCCUUCUCAAAGUAUAUCAUUGUCAUUCGCUAGCAAACUAGCAUUAUCACAAGGCUAGAGGUGGGAGGCAUGUGUAGGUCACCUAGUUCAAUUCCUGAUGUGUGGAUGUCGGGCAAAUCAUCCUCAUGAUAUGAUCAUGGGUUAGGCCAAGCGUUACGGGCCUAUGCGGCAUUGAGGAAGUAGAUGGCAAAGCUUUGUCUCUCUACCUAUGGUGGCGACAGAGAAGGUUAUUAGGGAAUAAGAACUGAGAGUUGGCGGAAGAAACUUCCUUGAAUAAUUUUAUUCAAUUCCAACUUGUCUUCCAACUACAUAUUGUUGUCCUAUUUAAAGGGACUUCCUUUGUAAUUUGCUAAGGAAAGAAAGACAUUCGCCAAAUAUAAAGAAAUUCUCAAUAAUGCCAAUUGCAAUAAAAUAGUAAACUAAA